UGGGGAAUAUUGCACAAUGGAGGGAACUCUGAUGCAGCGACGCCGCGUGAACGAAGAAGGCUUUCGAGUCGUAAAGUUCUUUUAUAUGGGAAGAUAAUGACGGUACCAUAAGAAGAAGCCCCGGCUAACUACGUGCCAGCUGCCGCGGUAAUACGUAGGGGGCUAGCGUUGUCCGGAAUCACUGGGCGUAAAUGGUUCGCAGGCGGAAAUGCAAGUCAGGUGUAAAAGGCAGUAGCUUAACUACUGUAAGCAUUUGAAACUGCAUAUCUUGAGAAGAGUAGAGGUAAGUGGAAUUUUUAGUGUAGCGGUGAAAUGCGUAGAUAUUAAAAAGAAUACCGGUGGCGAAGGCGACUUACUGGGCUCAUUCUGACGCUGAGGAACGAAAGCGUGGGUAGCAAACAGG
RNAcentral lists this ribosomal RNA (403 nucleotides) under bacterium. Its description in RNAcentral is "partial 16S ribosomal RNA". It matches the Rfam family "Bacterial small subunit ribosomal RNA", at positions 355 to 776 of the family's 1533-position model. The record is from RNAcentral.